Molecule: ribosomal RNA, 253 nt
Filed under: uncultured bacterium
Lineage: Bacteria
Description: partial 16S ribosomal RNA
Rfam family: Bacterial small subunit ribosomal RNA
Source: RNAcentral
UACGGGGGGGGCAAGCGUUGUUCGGAAUUACUGGGCGUAAAGGGCUCGUAGGUGGCCAACUAAGUCAGACGUGAAAUCCCCAGGCUUAACCUGGGAACUGCGUCUGAUACUGGAUGGCUUGAAUUCGGGAGAGGGAUGCAGAAUUCCACGUGUAGCGGUGAAAUGCGUAGAGAUGUGGAGGAACACCAAUGGCGAAGGCAGCCUUCUGGGCCAACACUGACGCUCAUGCACGAAAGCGUGGGGAGCAAACAGG